GAUGAACGCUGGCGGCGUGCCUAACACAUGCAAGUCGAACGAGACUGAUUAGAUUGAGAUUUCGGUUGAUUUCUAUGAAAGUCGAGUGGCGGACGGGUGAGUAACACGUGGGUAACCUGCCUUACAGAGGGGGAUAACAGUUUGAAAAGACUGCUAAUACCGCAUAAGCACACAGUACCGCAUGGUACGGGGUGAAAAGAUUUAUCGCUGUAAGAUGGACCCGCGUCUGAUUAGCUAGUUGGCAGGGUAACGGCCUACCAAGGCGACGAUCAGUAGCCGACCUGAGAGGGUGAUCGGCCACAUUGGGACUGAGACACGGCCCAAACUCCUACGGGAGGCAGCAGUGGGGGAUAUUGCGCAAUGGGGGCAACCCUGACGCAGCAACGCCGCGUGAAGGAUGAAGGUUUUCGGAUUGUAAACUCUUUUAUUAAGGACGAAUAAUGACGGUACUUAAUGAAUAAGCUCCGGCUAACUACGUG
This 479-nucleotide ribosomal RNA is filed under the name uncultured bacterium. RNAcentral describes it as "bacterial SSU rRNA". It matches the Rfam family "Bacterial small subunit ribosomal RNA", at positions 28 to 507 of the family's 1533-position model. The record is from RNAcentral.